GCGCCCAUAGCUCAGUUGGAUAGAGCACUGGCCUCCGGAGCCAGGUGCGGGGGUUCAAGUCCCUCUGGGCGCACCA
This 76-nucleotide transfer RNA is filed under the name Desulfuribacillus alkaliarsenatis. RNAcentral describes it as "tRNA-Arg". It matches the Rfam family "tRNA". From Rfam's summary of the family: Transfer RNA (tRNA) molecules are approximately 80 nucleotides in length. Their secondary structure includes four short double-helical elements and three loops (D, anti-codon, and T loops). Lineage: Bacteria; Bacillati; Bacillota; Desulfuribacillia; Desulfuribacillales; Desulfuribacillaceae. The record is from RNAcentral.